GAUGAACGCUGGCGGCGUGCCUAAUACAUGCAAGUCGAGCGAACGGACGAGAAGCUUGCUUCUCUGAUGUUAGCGGCGGACGGGUGAGUAACACGUGUAUAACCUACCUAUAAUACUGGGAUAACUUCGGGAAACCGUAGCUAAUACCGGAUAAUAUUUUGAACCGCAUGGUUCAAAAGUUAAAGACGGUCUUGCUGUCACUUAUAGAUGGAUCCGCGCUGCAUUAGCUAGUUGGUAAGUUAAAGGCUUACCAAGGCAACGAUGCAUAGCCGACCUGAGAGGGUGAUCGGACAAACGGGAAGGGAGACACGGUACAGAGGACGACGGGAGGGAGCAGAAGGGAAUAGGCCGAAAUGGGCGAAAGCAUGACGGAGAAAGGCCGCGUGAGUGAUGAAGGUCUUCGGAUCGUAAAAAUCUGUUAUGAGGGAAGAAAAGAUGUGUAAGUAAAUGUGCACAUCGUGACGGUACCUAAUCAGAAAGCAACGGCUAACUACGUG
Molecule: ribosomal RNA, 497 nt
Filed under: uncultured bacterium
Lineage: Bacteria
Description: partial 16S ribosomal RNA
Rfam family: Bacterial small subunit ribosomal RNA
Source: RNAcentral